RNAcentral lists this ribosomal RNA (314 nucleotides) under uncultured bacterium. Its description in RNAcentral is "bacterial SSU rRNA". It matches the Rfam family "Bacterial small subunit ribosomal RNA", at positions 30 to 338 of the family's 1533-position model. The record is from RNAcentral.
AUUGAACGCUGGCGGCAGGCCUAACACAUGCAAGUCGAACGGUAACAGGAAGCAGCUUGCUGCUUCGCUGACGAGUGGCGGACGGGUGAGUAAUGUCUGGGAAACUGCCUGAUGGAGGGGGAUAACUACUGGAAACGGUGGCUAAUACCGCAUAACGUCGCAAGACCAAAGAGGGGGACCUUCGGGCCUCUUGCCAUCAGAUGUGCCCAGAUGGGAUUAGCUAGUUGGUGAGGUAACGGCUCACCAAGGCGACGAUCCCUAGCUGGUCUGAGAGGAUGACCAGCCACACUGGAACUGAGACACGGUCCAGACUC